This 466-nucleotide ribosomal RNA is filed under the name uncultured ammonia-oxidizing bacterium. Its description in RNAcentral is "bacterial SSU rRNA". It matches the Rfam family "Bacterial small subunit ribosomal RNA", at positions 198 to 645 of the family's 1533-position model. The record is from RNAcentral.
GGAGGAAAGUAGGGGAUCGUAAGACCUUGUGCUUUUGGAGCGGCCGAUGCCUGAUUAGCUAGUUGGUAAGGUAAAGGCCUACCAAGGCUUCGAUCAGUAGUUGGUCUGAGAGGACGACCAGCCACACUGGGACUGAGACACGGCCCAGACUCCUACGGGAGGCAGCAGUGGGGAAUUUUGGACAAUGGGGGAAACCCUGAUCCAGCCAUGCCGCGUGAGUGAAGAAGGCCUUCGGGUUGUAAAGCUCUUUCAGUCGGGAAGAAAAGGUUGCGACUAAUAAUCGUGAUUCAUGACGGUACCGACAGAAGAAGCACCGGCUAACUACGUGCCAGCAGCCGCGGUAAUACGUAGGGUGCGAGCGUUAAUCGGAAUUACUGGGCGUAAAGGGUGCGCAGGCGGUCUUGUAAGUCAGAUGUGAAAUCCCCGGGCUUAACCUGGGAACUGCGUUUGAAACUACAAGGCUAGA